Molecule: unclassified non-coding RNA, 350 nt
Filed under: soil metagenome
Description: partial contains 5.8S ribosomal RNA, internal transcribed spacer 2, and large subunit ribosomal RNA
Rfam family: 5.8S ribosomal RNA (bases 1-120)
Source: RNAcentral
GAUGAAGAACGUAGCGAAACGCGAUAAGUAAUGUGAAUUGCAGAAUUCAGUGAAUCAUCGAGUCUUUGAACGCACAUUGCGCCCCCUGGCAUUCCGGGGGGCAUGCCUGUCCGAGCGUCAUUGCUGCCCUUCAAGCCCGGCUUGUGUGUUGGGUCGUCGUCCCCCCCGGGGGACGGGCCCGAAAGGCAGCGGCGGCACCGCGUCCGGUCCUCGAGCGUAUGGGGCUUUGUCACCCGCUCGAUUAGGGCCGGCCGGGCGCCAGCCGGCGUCUCCAACCUUCUAUUUUACCAGGUUGACCUCGGAUCAGGUAGGGAUACCCGCUGAACUUAAGCAUAUCAAUAAGCGGAGGA